GACUCCGGAUUUUUCACAGGGAGGCCUAGUGGGCCAAGACAUUUGGUUUGCGGUUGACCUCCUCUACAAGCCCCAUCCUCCUGCCGUGACUGACUUGGAGCGCAGAGGACAGCAGCCGUCCGUGUAAGGCCUCUAGCUGCGCGUUGUAAAGUAAAGCUUUCAGAUCAGCCCCCGUGAAGGAGUCGGUCACUGAGGCCACGUGCUGAAGGUCCACGUCAUCUGCCAGAGUUAUUACCCUGUAAGCCUUCCACUCCAUCCAACUGAGUCAGCAACUGGUUAACCACGCGGUCUGUAACCCCUGUGUUAUCAUGGCCUCGCCGAGGAGCAAUGGAUUCAAAUUCAUCAAAGAAAAGAAUGCAGGGCUUGGCCGCCUGCGCUCU
Lontra canadensis (Northern American river otter) is the source of this 380-nucleotide long non-coding RNA. RefSeq lists it as uncharacterized. NCBI's taxonomy places the organism in Eukaryota, Metazoa, Chordata, Mammalia, Carnivora, Mustelidae. The transcript is spliced from 3 exons. The record is from RefSeq and is a predicted model, not a curated record.